GGUUAGCUUUGAAUGCACCAAGGUAUGCAUGGGUGGAAGCUUUGAGGGGUGAUAUGGGGUGGAGUACCUUUAGGGAAAGAUUUAGGAAGGCUACCCUUAGAUACAAAGUCAGAUUGGAACGAAUGGAUGACGGAAGACUGGCACGGAAGGUUUACUUGUGGAGUGUGCAUGAGAGCAAAUGGAUUAAGAACUGCAUGAGAAUGGUUGGUGACAGUGGUAUAUGCGAGUCAGGUGGGUGAGCAGAGAGGAAGGGAGGCGUUUCUUUGAGUGGAAGGUGACUGACAGGAACAGAUUGGAUGAUUUGUAAUGGAUACUGCUUGUUGUAUUUUUAUUUCUACAGGUUGUGCCGAUGUGAAGGCCUUGACUCUCCAACGGGCCACCUGUUACAGCAAGACCAAGAGUAAGUUGUAAACACGAGGGAGGUGCAGGAUAAAACACCUAAGAAGAACCAAGAACCGCGCUUCCAUCAUCCCUCGCCCUCCCAGCCCUCUGAAACACCACCGGGGAGGAAGACCACAGGCAGGAUGGGCCGGAGCUCCAAGGACAAGCGUGAUAUCUACUACCGGCUGGCCAAGGAGGAGGGGUGGCGGGCCCGCAGCGCCUUCAAGCUCAUCCAGAUCAACGAGGAGUUCAAGAUAUUCGACGGUGUGACCCGUGUUGUGGACCUGUGUGCAGCCCCAGGCAGCUGGAGCCAAGUCUUGUCCCGCACACUGAGGAGUGGCGUGCCAGACCCUUCGUCAGUGAAGAUCGUUGCGGUGGAUCUGCAGGCAAUGGCACCACUGCCAGGUGUGACGCAGCUGCAGGGGGACAUCACCAAGGCCAGCACUGCUGAGGCAAUCAUCAGCCACUUUCAGGGUGACAAGGCCCAGCUUGUGGUGUGUGAUGGUGCCCCUGAUGUGACAGGCCUGCAUGACCUUGAUGAGUAUGUGCAGGCCCAGCUGCUGCUUGCUGCCCUCAACAUCACCACUCAUGUCCUAGCGGCGGGCGGCACCUUUGUUGCCAAGAUCUUCCGUGGCAAAGAUGUCACCCUCCUCUACGCCCAGCUCAAAAUAUUCUUCACUCAGGUCAGCGUCACCAAGCCAAGGUCAUCACGCAACUCAAGCAUUGAGUCAUUUGUGGUGUGCCAGAAUUACUCUCCACCUGAAGGCUACGUCCCCACAAUGGUCAAUCCUCUACUUGACCUGAGCUACGACGGGUCAUGGCAAGACCUUGAGGGGCCCAACCGUGUCAUUGUGCCCUUCCUGGCAUGUGGAGACCUGUCAGCUUACGACUCUGACAUGACCUACCCGCUGCAAAUGGAGGAUGGCAAGAGUUACCAGUAUUUGCCCCCCACUCAGCCUCCCAUCAGCCCAGCAUACACAGCAGCUGUGGCCAUGAAGCGCAGCAGUCAGCAGGCCCCAGGGGAACCUUUCACCACUGCCCCUGCUACUACUACAGGGAAGAGUGAGAGUGAGCCACCAGGGGAAGGGCAAGAGAACCAAUCAUCUGAGGAGGAAGAAGACCCAAACGCAAAUCUAACCGAGAGGGAAUUAAUGGAGCUACAGAUGGCUCAUGCAGAGAGUCUAUGCCUUGAUCAAUAUGGUGAAAUCAUGUAAUUGGCUGAAAGAGUUAUUGAAGUGUUUUAUCUUGCAUUAACGCAUGAGUACACUAUUCUUUUUUCUACUGAAACAAAGGGGGUUUGUCAUAAAUAUGGUCACUUGUCUCGCCUCAGAAUGAGGCACUGCUGACACGAACACAGGCUGUGGAAAUCAGUUGCUUGAGGGCAUGUGGCUUGGCAGAGAGGACAUUUUCUGUGUCUUCACCUCCACCCAUAUUAUUUUUCUGAAUGAUUUCAGUUUUGUGAUCUACUUUUUCUUUUGUCAGAGAAAGAUGACAUCAGUGACUCACUUUUCCUUUUUAUAUUAACAUUUGUAAUUUUCACGUGAAUCUGGAUGUCGUCAGCACAGAAGUGAUUAGUGACAUUGUGCCUGAAACGGAAGAUAAACAGCUGAUUGAUGGAAGUUGCAAACAGUUUUGAUCCCAAAACUGAUCCCUGAGGGACACUGAAUAGCAGGGUUGCUCUGUCUGAGAUGACCUCAUUCACCAUAACUUGCUGGGACCCACCUUACAAAUGUGACUUAUGGAACACAAGAGCAUUGUUGAACACGCCACUAUUUUAAAGAGGACUCGGUAGCCGCUCAUGAUCGACUGUACCAAAGGCUGCAGAGAGACCAAACCCAAUGUACAUCUUGAGUAACACUGUUAUGAAAUAAGGCUCAAGGGUCAAAGACAUGUGCACCAGAAACAAGUUGCUGGAAGAAAACUUGCAGGUUUGCAGGAUGGGACGGUGAGAGCAACGGAGGUUUUGAGGCAGAGUGUGAAAGUGAAAAGGAGAUAACGUCAGUCAACCGAUCCUGAGUAAUGAACGGAACUUCAUCAAGCAAAAACUGCAUAAAGUACAUGGACAAGGUCUUAAAAGGUCUUACUAAGUCAAAAAUACCUCGAAGAGUCUCCGGAGGAAAACCGUGAGCAUCUGGUUUUAAACUAAACAAAUUUGUGUGUCCCUCAAAUAUAUUUUAAGUCAUCAAGAUAUUGUAAAGAUGCCAUGGCUAACUCAAUGUGGUGUGAAGUUGCUACCAUGUUAAUAAAUGAAUAAGUAGCAUGCUGUGUGACAGAACAAUGUUAUUACAUUUAACCCAACAGGUCAGUUACUUCACUUAUAAACUAAUUUAAUUUUGGGGCAGAUAAAUCUUGAAUUUAAACAUUAUCAGAAAACAAACAUCAAAGUUGUCAAUCAAUUUACCAGUCAACCUCAAGUCUCUUAUGUCCACUAAUUACAGUCAGUGUAAAGGCAAUUUAGAUUCUUAAGUUAUCACUAAGCAACUGAAUAUUCUUAAUCGAGUUGAUAAAUAUCUUCCAUUCUACCCAGCAGAAAUCUCGACUCCUGAAGUUUGACUAACAGCUGGAUGGUCCCAUCAGUGUGUGCAAGGCAUCUCAUCAACCAGGCAAAUUCAAGUGGAUUGCUGGAGGGUUGAGACACCUGGAAGCCCAGAUCACACCAUGCCACGCCACACCUGGAAGAAGCAAAAGUUACACCAAAAUGAAGAGUAUUCCAUGGCCUUUGCAAUCUACUAAAGCAAUAUUCUUUUACUUUCUUUCAUUGUUGCAAGUUAUUUUGUAAUGCAUUCUGUUCUUUUUACCAAGUGUAAAGGUGUUCAAUAAAUAUCCUGGAAGGGAGA
RNA transcript from Eriocheir sinensis (Chinese mitten crab), 3218 nucleotides. It is a transcript of the gene named putative tRNA (cytidine(32)/guanosine(34)-2'-O)-methyltransferase, with no coding region annotated. The transcript has 9 exons. Lineage: Eukaryota; Metazoa; Arthropoda; Malacostraca; Decapoda; Varunidae. The record is from RefSeq and is a predicted model, not a curated record.